AUUUUAUAUUUACAAUUUAUAUUCUAAAUAUUACGUGCAAUUCUAACUGACAAUGCGACUAUAGAAAUAGUGGACGUGACAAAGUUUUAAACGAUUAUUUAAAAAAAAGCCCAAGUAUUGUGCGUGUACCUCGUUCCAACCGUAUCGGUUCUUGGCCUGCACGAUGGCCUCGUAGACGGCGCCGGGCUGCAGCCCGCGCAGCUCGUGCGUGACGCGGUGCGUGAGCGAGCCGGCGGGCUCCGGCGCCGGGAUCACCACGUCGUGCCACCGGCCCGGCUGCUGGAACGACUCGUUGAUCUGCCAACACCAUGCAGAUGGCGGCUGUGACGUGCGCGCGAGCCUCGACCUGUGAUGUGUGGUGGACGGCACUCACCGCCAGCUGCCGGUAGAGCAGGCGCAGCUCGUCGAGCGGCGGGUACGAGUCGACGGCGAACGCGAGCAGGUAGGAGGCGGCGCGGCGCGCCAGCGGCGGCGACGUGAACACGGCCGGCCCCGGCCGCCCCGACACCUCCACGUGCUGCCGCGCGCGGCCCAGGCUGUUGUCCGCCACGCAGCUGCAACACCACACAUGCCGCUGUUGCACCACGACACUAGCACUGCUAGUAAGGUCACCAACUGUACUCAUUCAUUGGGCACUAAUGCUGCUGUUGAAAGGGUAUUUCCACUAGGGAAUGAUUAUUGGAGCAGUGAGAAGUCGCAACUCUCUGUAAAAACAUCAUCUGCUGUCUUAACAGUCAAGUUUAAUAUGCAAAAUGAAAGUUGUUCGGAUGUGGCUACAUUAUUAGACGAACAUCCUCAUUUAAUAAAAAAAAACCAAUCCGAAGAAAAAAAUAAAGUUUUUAUCGUUUUUUCUUCUUUUUUUUUACCUAUCAAAAAUUCUUGCAAAGUGUACUCUUUUUGAACAAAAAAUAGUUGGUCACCUUACUACUAGUGUUGAGGUGCCGGGGGGGGAAGGGAUUUAAGGAGCUUCGACCUUAUCAGGUCGAUCUUCACGCAGUUCCCCUGGAAACCAUCGUGGUUAAUUCUAAUGGAAUUCGUCACGAUGGGCUAACUGGCCAGCUUUCAUUAUCACCUAUCAUCCUUCACUAGUACCCCGCCAGUGUAUACCGAAAACGUAGGCGGGGUUACUAUUCCAUUAUCACCCAUUAAAAAAAAGUGUUGUGGUGUUGAGACGGUGACAUUUGAAGACAGGCACUACAUUAUUAUCUACCAGUACCAGAUACGCUUGCUUCUUCUUUCUUUUCAUUCUUUCAUUUAAUGAUUUAUACAUUUGAUCACGCUACAAAAUAUGAAGCCGAACCUAACGCUGAAUGUACAUUCUUUAAACGCAUCUUUUAAAUGGUUUCGACCAACUUAUCUAAAUCCUUAGCGCCAAUAAGACUCCCACGAAACUAAGUAAAGAUCUUAAAAGUGUUUCAGGAUACUGUUGAAAGCAAAUAAGUAGUAAUGAAAUCAGAGAUUUCCCAAUGAUAGAUAUACAACUUACCACCAGAUACCAUCAUUAUCCUAAUUAAGAGUCAUACCAGCCGUUGACUGUCCACUGCUAAAGAUAAGCUUCCCCCUGUAGGUGGAGUUUUGCCGGUAGUUGCCACACUUGGCAGGCGGGUUGUCAACCGUAGUUAGUCUUUGGUGAUGUUUUAGAAGGACGCUGCUACCCAUCCUUCGCCCUCCCUUAGUCGCCUCUUACGACACCCACGGGAAAGGAAGGGGUGACCUAUUCUAUGCCGGCUAUCAAAGAAAGUCUAUUUUCCGUUAAGUUUGGGUACGUCCU
Galleria mellonella (greater wax moth) is the source of this 1771-nucleotide long non-coding RNA. RefSeq lists it as uncharacterized. The transcript has 4 exons. Lineage: Eukaryota; Metazoa; Arthropoda; Insecta; Lepidoptera; Pyralidae. The record is from RefSeq and is a predicted model, not a curated record.